RNAcentral lists this ribosomal RNA (1372 nucleotides) under uncultured bacterium. Its description in RNAcentral is "bacterial SSU rRNA". It matches the Rfam family "Bacterial small subunit ribosomal RNA", at positions 28 to 1381 of the family's 1533-position model. The record is from RNAcentral.
GAUGAACGCUGGCGGCGUGCCUAAUACAUGCAAGUCGAGCGAACGGACGAGAAGCUUGCUUCUCUGAUGUUAGCGGCGGACGGGUGAGUAACACGUGGAUAACCUACCUAUAAGACUGGGAUAACUUCGGGAAACCGGAGCUAAUACCGGAUAAUAUUUUGAACCGCAUGGUUCAAAAGUGAAAGACGGUCUUGCUGUCACUUAUAGAUGGAUCCGCGCUGCAUUAGCUAGUUGGUAAGGUAACGGCUUACCAAGGCAACGAUGCAUAGCCGACCUGAGAGGGUGAUCGGCCACACUGGAACUGAGACACGGUCCAGACUCCUACGGGAGGCAGCAGUAGGGAAUCUUCCGCAAUGGGCGAAAGCCUGACGGAGCAACGCCGCGUGAGUGAUGAAGGUCUUCGGAUCGUAAAACUCUGUUAUUAGGGAAGAACAUAUGUGUAAGUAACUGUGCACAUCUUGACGGUACCUAAUCAGAAAGCCACGGCUAACUACGUGCCAGCAGCCGCGGUAAUACGUAGGUGGCAAGCGUUAUCCGGAAUUAUUGGGCGUAAAGCGCGCGUAGGCGGUUUUUUAAGUCUGAUGUGAAAGCCCACGGCUCAACCGUGGAGGGUCAUUGGAAACCGGAAAACUUGAGUGCAGAAGAGGAAAGUGGAAUUCCAUGUGUAGCGGUGAAAUGCGCAGAGAUAUGGAGGAACACCAGUGGCGAAGGCGACUUUCUGGUCUGUAACUGACGCUGAUGUGCGAAAGCGUGGGGAUCAAACAGGAUUAGAUACCCUGGUAGUCCACGCCGUAAACGAUGAGUGCUAAGUGUUAGGGGGUUUCCGCCCCUUAGUGCUGCAGCUAACGCAUUAAGCACUCCGCCUGGGGAGUACGACCGCAAGGUUGAAACUCAAAGGAAUUGACGGGGACCCGCACAAGCGGUGGAGCAUGUGGUUUAAUUCGAAGCAACGCGAAGAACCUUACCAAAUCUUGACAUCCUUUGACAACUCUAGAGAUAGAGCCUUCCCCUUCGGGGGACAAAGUGACAGGUGGUGCAUGGUUGUCGUCAGCUCGUGUCGUGAGAUGUUGGGUUAAGUCCCGCAACGAGCGCAACCCUUAAGCUUAGUUGCCAUCAUUAAGUUGGGCACUCUAAGUUGACUGCCGGUGACAAACCGGAGGAAGGUGGGGAUGACGUCAAACCAUCAUGCCCCUUAUGAUUUGGGCUACACACGUGCUACAAUGGACAAUACAAAGGGCAGCGAAACCGCGAGGUCAAGCAAAUCCCAUAAAGUUGUUCUCAGUUCGGAUUGUAGUCUGCAACUCGACUACAUGAAGCUGGAAUCGCUAGUAAUCGUAGAUCAGCAUGCUACGGUGAAUACGUUCCCGGGUCU